Molecule: long non-coding RNA, 896 nt
Filed under: Marmota monax (woodchuck)
Lineage: Eukaryota; Metazoa; Chordata; Mammalia; Rodentia; Sciuridae
Source: RNAcentral
UGUAUCAAGAAUUUAAUGUAGCAAUUAAUUGCUUGAUAUAUAUAUUUUCCAUUUUACUUGAGUAAGCAUCAGCAAAAAAAAAAAAAGAAAAAAAAAGAUUUAUCUGUGCUGUUUUUGGAGGGGAAGCCGGGACUUUCCAUUUUGAGCCUGGCCUUCUUUUUCUGCUGCAGAAUUCAAAGCAGGUGCAGACGUGUUUGGGAGCUUUCCUGGAGCCAACCCUGACUGCUAUCCAAUUUUUGCUAGGAAAACCUGGGAACAAGGAGGCUAUUUAAACUUGUCUUGGGAGGAGAAGGAGGGUUUUCUUUUUCUUCAAGGACAGGAGAGAGGAAGGUCAUGGCAUCUGGGGGGUGGGGGUCAGAUCACCUUGGAAUGGGAGAGGAAAUAGGGGUUUGGUUCUCAGGGUGUUUGAUGAAGCACCCCAAGGGGGCAGGUAUGUGGAUGGGGUAACCUGGAGGGUAACCACUGUGGAGAAGAGAAGCAGCAGAGGCCUCCACGGCUGGUCUGGUGGGUGGAGACGACCAUGGUGAAGAGCCAUCCUCUAGCCUUCAGAACUGCACAGUGAACAGCUGACGGAAUUCAUCAGCAGCGCCCUGACCAUGAGAAGCCAGGGAAACAAAGGCCAUCAUUAUUGAUAGGACCAGGUCCUUCCUCGUUUCCUAGAACAUGAGGUCCUGUGGGAUCAGGCACGAGACCCCAAAAUAACAGACAUAGGACAUCUCACCAGCUUCUGCGAGUGGUGUCUUGGAGCCGGGCUUUAAACUAACAAAUAAAUGCAGCAUUUCCUGAGAUUUGGGUGUGGUGGUUACUUUUCAUAUUUCCCUUAAUAUUUUAAAGAAUCCUAGAGAAAAUAUCCCCCCUCUGUUUAUUUCUUGGGGAGUGCCUGGAACAGGCUGCAG